Molecule: ribosomal RNA, 867 nt
Filed under: Bacillus sp. (in: firmicutes)
Lineage: Bacteria; Bacillati; Bacillota; Bacilli; Caryophanales; Bacillaceae
Description: bacterial SSU rRNA
Rfam family: Bacterial small subunit ribosomal RNA
Source: RNAcentral
UCAGGACGAACGCUGGCGGCGUGCCUAAUACAUGCAAGUCGAGCGAAUGGAAGGGAGCUUGCUCCCGGAAGUUAGCGGCGGACGGGUGAGUAACACGUGGGCAACCUGCCUGUAAGACUGGGAUAACUUCGGGAAACCGGAGCUAAUACCGGAUAAUUUCUUUCUUCUCAUGGAGGAAGGUUGAAAGAUGGCUUCGGCUAUCACUUACAGAUGGGCCCGCGGCGCAUUAGCUAGUUGGUGAGAUAACGGCUCACCAAGGCAACGAUGCGUAGCCGACCUGAGAGGGUGAUCGGCCACACUGGGACUGAGACACGGCCCAGACUCCUACGGGAGGCAGCAGUAGGGAAUCUUCCGCAAUGGACGAAAGUCUGACGGAGCAACGCCGCGUGAGUGAUGAAGGUUUUCGGAUCGUAAAACUCUGUUGUCAGGGAAGAACAAGUAUCGGAGUAACUGCCGGUACCUUGACGGUACCUGACCAGAAAGCCACGGCUAACUACGUGCCAGCAGCCGCGGUAAUACGUAGGUGGCAAGCGUUGUCCGGAAUUAUUGGGCGUAAAGCGCGCGCAGGCGGUCCUUUAAGUCUGAUGUGAAAGCCCACGGCUCAACCGUGGAAGGUCAUUGGAAACUGGGGGACUUGAGUGCAGAAGAGAAGAGCGGAAUUCCACGUGUAGCGGUGAAAUGCGUAGAGAUGUGGAGGAACACCAGUGGCGAAGGCGGCUCUUUGGUCUGUAACUGACGCUGAGGCGCGAAAGCGUGGGGAGCAAACAGGAUUAGAUACCCUGGUAGUCCACGCCGUAAACGAUGAGUGCUAAGUGUUAGAGGGUUUCCGCCCUUUAGUGCUGCAGUAACGCAUAAGCACUCCGCCUG